Triticum aestivum (bread wheat) is the source of this 2829-nucleotide long non-coding RNA. RefSeq lists it as uncharacterized. NCBI's taxonomy places the organism in Eukaryota, Viridiplantae, Streptophyta, Magnoliopsida, Poales, Poaceae. The record is from RefSeq and is a predicted model, not a curated record. The transcript is spliced from 3 exons.
GCCGCCUCCCCCGAUCUCCUUUCGCCUGGAACGCUGCUACCCUUUCAGCCGUCGUUUCCACUCAUCCCCAAACCCCGACCCUCCCAAUCCUUCUCCUCUUGUGACCGAGGGUGAAUCCUUUGUGUGCCGCCACUUUUGCGAGAUGUCGCCGAUGCGCAAGGAAAUUCGAAGGAGAAGUGCUACACUUGCAACCCCGGAGGCGGCGGCGGCCGCCCCUUCAUAGAGACAUUCGUGAAGGUUGACGGUCAGGAGAGACAAGGCGCGACGAAUAACUCUUGCGUCCUGAUUGCAGUUCGAUGUCCCUGCCAUCGAUGCAUUUAACAGCCGUCUGCAGAGUGAAGGCCAACGACUAAGUUGUUGUGUGUCCGCGCUCCGUUCAUUCCCUGGUGAGUGGUGACCACUGACCAGCGAGCAUCUAUGUUUCCGUUGCCCUUUCAUUUCAGACGUAUUUUUUCGGUACAAGAUUCAGUUUCACAUAUUGGACAUUUCUUUUCCGAUCGUUCUGGUGCUUCGAUCAGAAGUGCACCGUCGAAUUAACGAGUUAAGCUGCCGUUAAUGGUAGUGGAGGUGCGCCACUCCUAUGCCUCCCUCCUGCUCCUAUUUAUAUGUCAUCACCCGCCUGAUCACCCGGUCUUCCGUCGUCGUGUUCGAUGUCUUCACUACUCCUGCGAUACCUCCUAGAUCAGUCAUGGCUCUCCAAAGCUGAAUUCUUGUCGAUCUUCCAUUUCUUUGCCACUUCUCUCUGUAUCGUGCAGAAUUUCUGACCACAAGAGAACGACAAGGAGGCAGUGGCAGCCAAUUUCAUAUGCGAGGUGGUGAGUCUGGGCGAGCUGCCGCUAAUAUCUCGACAGUAAUUAAUCGAAGUGAUUGUGUUUGUUGUUCAUGAACAUGCUAUGGCAGAACAAUUCAAUUUCUGGCCCAAUUACUUGGUGAGAAAGGCAUCUAGGUAGCAGCACCCUAAUUCAGUUUAUUAUCUCAAGAACCUCAAGUACAUGUAAGAUUUAUUUCUCAGGUUGUUGAUCGCUAAGCCUUCCUAUUGUAUAUAAAAGCUUAUUUUUAUUCUGUUCCUCUUGUCGCUACAAGAAAUUUAACAGAAACAGAACCUAUAGUUUUACGUGAUUCACUAGCCACCAUUAAAUUUCCUUGCUGUUAUGUAUUCUGUGUCAUUCCCUUUUCCUUUUCCCUCCAUGGAGUCCUGAAUAUUAUUCGAAUAAUGUUGAGCUGGUGCAGGUUAUAGAUUUGUGAUUAGCUCUUCUCAAAGUCUAUGAACCUUGGCUUUGGAAAUACGCAUGUUGUCUUGACUAUUCCUAGGUUCCUGCCUAUUUUACCAUUUGACGAUCACAAUUACUAUAUCAUAGUUGCUAUAAGAUGAGUUUUAAAUAUAUGUUGGCACCUACAUAUAUUAUGAAGUGUGAUUUGAUAUAUAUUGCAAAGAAAUAGCAAUGCCUACUUGUUCUGGAUAUAAUUUUGUAUCAGUUCACAACUGAUCAUACAUUUUUAUUUGUUAACAUAAGAAAUCUUUGGCUUCUCCAUUUUUAUUUGUACAUAAGAAACCUUUGACUUCUCCAACCACUGAGUACUGAAGUUUCUAUAUGUCUGGAUUUCUCAAUGGUCAAUCAAUUUGUUACCAUAUAGUUGAGCACUUGAGCAGUCUGCCAAUAUACGAUUAUAAUUUUACUAGCAGGAAGCUAAACAAGAAAAUAUAAUUAACUUUGUUAGGUCCGUGGAGCAAUACUAAGUCUUUAAAUCAUGUGUUAGUAUUGUACUAGAAUUUACGAAGAUUUGUAAUUUUGUUCCAUGAUCCAUGUUAUUGCAUGCCCACAUUAUUUUUCUCCGGGUAUUUUUGGAUGCUUAAAAAAUUACCUCCCGAAGGUUUAUUGUACCAGAGAUUUUAUUUUGAGGCAUGCUACAUUUGAUUUUAACACAAUAGAGAAUAUUUUAAUUCACACAAAAAGGAAAACAACAGCUACAUGGGCCGGCCGUAUAGUGGUUUGCAUGUGCGUUAUAGCGACAAUACGAUCAGAAAAGGCGAUGAAUGGGAUUUUCCGCCCUCACUGGCAUAUUGUUUUUUCCUCCGCAACCAAGCCAAUUCUGCUAGAUUGAAGGCGAGAUGGCUGGUGUUCUUGGUGUGGACUACUCUGAAAGCCAGUCUUCAGCAGGGUUUUUCCUCUCAGAAAUGUAGUUUUUCUAUAAGAAUAGAUACUGAAUCCCGAAUACUUUGAUUGCUGUGUAGUGAAAGUACCGAUAUUCACUAGCCUUUCUGAUUCAGCCCAUUGAAGUCUUGUAUAUGUAAUGCAUUGAGCCAUUGGCAGUGUUGAAAUUGGAGUAAAGAACAAUGUCGAAAUUGCUCUGAUUAUUACCGAAUUAUGUUGUACUCCUGAACUUGUUAGAGGGUGAUAACUUAGAAGUUUCAGGUCUCAUUUGUCCAUUUUCAUUUAGUCAUUUUAUUUUUAACUUUGAGAGGGCACCAUGAUCUUAUUAGGAAUAUCAGCUUAUUUUGCAUGAUUAAUUGAUGUUUUUACAUUCAUAUUUUGCAGCAUUUUGCUCGGGGUGUUCAUGCCUUUUGCCAUGUGCGGAGAUUAGAUCUGUUACAGGCACAUGCCAACAGAAAUAUUGUUAGCAAGACACGUAAGCAGGGGAUUAUGCAAAAGAAUAGUAAAACGUUUGUUGCAAGAAUUAUAUCCUGCUGAUGUGCUGCGUAUUAAAUUGGUUUUCUGCCUAUGAAAUAUUUCCUACAUUAUUUUAGUCAAACGCUCCCAAAGGACAUUUAGGCUCAAAUGUAUUGUAUUGAGACACAUAUUUUCGUAGACUAGCAAGAUUUAGAGAAAA